UGGUGAAUCGGCUAUAAUAUUAUUCACCAGUGUAACUAGGUCAGCGAGGUGAUUAGUGGUGGUGGUUAUGGAGACAAGAUGUACUUGUAUCUAUUCUGUUGCCCCUAUGCCCACAACGUGGCUUCAAAAGGGAAAUACAUUGCUUUUGUUACCACAGAAGCAGAGACUGACAACCCUGAGGUGGAAUUGAAGCCUGGCAUAGACCUACUUGGACCUGUAGACGAGAUAUUCUUUGAAAGUUAUGACAGAUUUGUACUCCAAGUUGAGCUUUGGUUGAUUAAAGUUGUUACGGGUUCAGUUUCUAGUUUACAUCUCUUGCUUGCCCCUCUACAGAUUUGUACUCCAAGUUGAGCCUUGGUUGAUUAAACUAAGAAGUUUUUUUAGUUUGAGUGAAUUCAUUUAUGGAUUGCUUGUCUUGUUCUUGUGCUGUAAAUUUUCCCGCACAGUGAAUUUUUUUGUUGCUGUUCAGCAUGUUCUAAUGAUUUUUUUUAUCCCAAAUUUAUUCUUUUUUUGUGUUGUGAAACAAGUAGGAAACUGGAAAUACUGACAUCGAAGGCGUUGACUCAACCAAUGCUUGCUAUGGUGGAACUGUAGCUUUAUUCAACUGUGUCAAUUGGGUGGAGAGUAGUUCAUGGGAUGGACGCUAUGGACUUGUGGUCUGAACAGACAGUGCGGGCCUGAUGCUCCCAUAGCAUUUGAAAGCAAAUUCAGGGGAAGCCAUAUGUCGCAUGCCUAUGAUUUUUACAAGCCCAACCAUGCAAGUGAAUAUCCGCUUGUUCAAAAGAGCUUUGCCUGGUUGUGGUUCAAUGACUUCUUGAGGAAUGUCGUGAUUCGAUGACUUCUUGAGGAAUGUCGUGAUCUAGAGAUUGCUUUCACCAUGUCUCUCUUACAACUAAUUGGUGCUAGAGAGGGUUUUAGCUUUAGUUUUAAGAUUAUGUGAGGUCGACCUAUCAGUGUCUUUGAUGAUCUUGGGUCCAGAGCUCUUCCAACUUUCCUCAAUUCCACCAUGAAUGCUAUUGAGGGAAUCAUUGGAAUGGUUGGGCUUUCUUGAUC
Molecule: non-coding RNA, 1053 nt
Organism: Camellia sinensis
Lineage: Eukaryota; Viridiplantae; Streptophyta; Magnoliopsida; Ericales; Theaceae
Source: RefSeq, a predicted model, not a curated record